This 464-nucleotide ribosomal RNA is filed under the name uncultured bacterium. RNAcentral describes it as "partial 16S ribosomal RNA". It matches the Rfam family "Bacterial small subunit ribosomal RNA", at positions 338 to 795 of the family's 1533-position model. The record is from RNAcentral.
CCUACGGGAGGCAGCAGUAGGGAAUUUUCGUCAAUGGGCGCAAGCCUGAACGAGCAAUGCCGCGUGAACGAGGAAGGUCUUCGGAUCGUAAAGUUCUGUUGAAGGGGAAAAAGAGCGGAGAGAGGAAAUGGUCUCCGAUUGAUAUUACCCUUCGAGGAAGUCACGGCUAACUACGUGCCAGCAGCCGCGGUAAUACGUAGGUGGCGAGCGUUAUCCGGAAUGAUUGGGCGAAAGGGGUGCGUAGGCGGCCUGCUAAGUCUGGAGUGAAAGGUACCGGCUCAACCGGGAUAGGCUCUGGAAACUGGCGGGCUAGAGAGCAGGAGAGGGCGGUGGAACUCCAUGUGGAGCGGUAAAAUGCGUAGAUAUAUGGAAGAACACCAGUGGCGAAGGCGGCCGCCUGGCCUGUUACUGACGCUGAGGCACGAAAGCGUGGGGAGCAAAUAGGAUUAGAUACCCCGGUAGUC